This 870-nucleotide ribosomal RNA is filed under the name uncultured archaeon. Its description in RNAcentral is "bacterial SSU rRNA". It matches the Rfam family "Archaeal small subunit ribosomal RNA", at positions 1 to 878 of the family's 1478-position model. The record is from RNAcentral.
UUCCGGUUGAUCCUGCCGGACCUGACUGCUAUCGGAUUGAUACUAAGCCAUGCGAGUCAUUGUAGUAAUACAAGGCAGACGGCUCAGUAACGCGUAGUCAACCUGCCCUAUGGACGGGGAUAACCUCGGGAAACUGAGAAUAAUACCCGAUAGAACAUUAUGCCUGGAAUGGUUUAUGUUUCAAAUAAUUUAUUGCCGUAGGAUGGGACUGCGGCCUAUCAGUUUGUUGGUGAGGUAAUGGCCCACCAAGACUAUUGCAGGUACGGGCUCUGAGAGGAGUAGCCCGGAGAUGGGUACUGAGACACGGACCCAGGCCCUAUGGGGCGCAGCAGGCGAGAAAACUUUGCAAUGUGCGAAAGCACGACAAGGUUAAUCCGAGUGGUUUCUGCUAAAGGAACCUUUUGUCAGUCCUAGAAACACUGAUGAAUAAGGGGUGGGCAAGUUCUGGUGUCAGCCGCCGCGGUAAAACCAGCACCUCAAGUGGUCAGGAUGAUUAUUGGGCCUAAAGCAUCCGUAGCCUGCUUUGUAAGUUUUCGGUUAAAUCCAUACGCUCAACGUAUGGGCUGCCGGGAAUACUGCAAAGCUAGGGAGUGGGAGAGGUAGACGGUACUCGGUAGGAAGGGGUAAAAUCCUUUGAUCUAUUGAUGACCACCUGUGGCGAAGGCGGUCUACCAGAACACGUCCGACGGUGAGGGAUGAAAGCUGGGGGAGCAAACCGGAUUAGAUACCCGGGUAGUCCCAGCUGUAAACUAUGCAAACUCAGUGAUGCAUUGGCUUGAUGCCAAUGCAGUGCUGCAGGGAAGCCGUUAAGUUUGCCGCCUGGGAAGUACGUACGCAAGUAUGAAACUUAAAGGAAUUGGCGGGGGAGCA